RNAcentral lists this ribosomal RNA (497 nucleotides) under uncultured bacterium. RNAcentral's name for it is "partial 16S ribosomal RNA". It matches the Rfam family "Bacterial small subunit ribosomal RNA", at positions 28 to 507 of the family's 1533-position model. The record is from RNAcentral.
GAUGAACGCUGGCGGCGUGCCUAAUACAUGCAAGUCGAGCGAACGGACGAGAAGCUUGCUUCUCUGAUGUUAGCGGCGGACGGGUGAGUAACACGUGGAUAACCUACCUAUAAGACUGGGAUAACUUCGGGAAACCGGAGCUAAUACCGGAUAAUAUUUUGAACCGCAUGGUUCAAUAGUGAAAGACGGUCUUGCUGUCACUAAUAGAUGGAUCCGCGCUGCAUUAGCUAGUUGGUAAGGUAACGGCUUACCAAGGCAACGAUGCGUAGCCGACCUGAGAGAGUGAUCGGCCACACGGGAACUUAGACACGGUCCAGACUCCUACGAGAGGCAGCAGUAGGGAAUCGUCCGCAAUGGGCGAAAGCCUGACGGAGCAACGCCGCGUGAGUGAUGAAGGUCUUCGGAUCGUAAAACUCUGUUAUUAGGGAAGAACAGAUGUGUAAGUAACUGUGCACAUCUUGACGGUACCUAAUCAGAAAGCCACGGCUAACUACGUG